AUUGAACGCUGGCGGAAUGCUUUACACAUGCAAGUCGAGCGGCAGCGCGGGGGCAACCCUGGCGGCGAGCGGCGAACGGGUGAGUAAUACAUCGGAACAUGUCCAGUCGUGGGGGAUAGCCCGGCGAAAGCCGGAUUAAUACCGCAUGAGCUCGAGAGAGGAAAGCGGGGGACCGUAAGGCCUCGCGCGACUGGGUUGGCCGAUGUCCGAUUAGCUAGUUGGUGGGGUAAAGGCCACCAAGGCGAUGAUCGGUAGCUGGUCUGAGAGGAUGAUCAGCCACACUGGGACUGAGACACGGCCCAGACUCCUACGGGAGGCAGCAGUGGGGAAUUUUGGACAAUGGGGAAACCUGAUCCCGCCAUUCCGCGUGAGUGAAGAAGGCCUGG
This 386-nucleotide ribosomal RNA is filed under the name uncultured bacterium. Its description in RNAcentral is "bacterial SSU rRNA". It matches the Rfam family "Bacterial small subunit ribosomal RNA", at positions 29 to 419 of the family's 1533-position model. The record is from RNAcentral.